Molecule: long non-coding RNA, 1074 nt
Filed under: Capra hircus (goat)
Lineage: Eukaryota; Metazoa; Chordata; Mammalia; Artiodactyla; Bovidae
Description: lncRNA (ENSCHIG00010016638.1)
Source: RNAcentral
UGUGACACUCUAGGGGCCCAGAGCAGUGACAGGCACCUCACUGAAGCCAGUGAGAAUGUUUAUCUGUUUCAAGGGAGCAGGAGGAGGUGGACAAUGGACCCUGUUAGAGAUGGGGCAGAUGAGCCCAGCCCAGACAGGAAGGAGGCAGGAGCAGGUCGUAAAUGUGUGCAGGGCUUCAGCAAAUCAGGCAGCAGGCAUUAAGCCAAAGGUCAGGCAGAGAAGAGCCUGUCCUCCAAAGCUUAAAGACUAAAUUAUCAGGGACCCACUUAGACUGAAGCCUGGAAAAUGGCCCAGGCAGACAGCUCUUGCUGUCUACUGAGAAAGAUAGUUAAGAGACAGGGCUCUGACAGCGAAUCAGCAGAAGGUCCUGUGGUCCUCUCGUCCACCCCAGUGACCGAGGAAGGAGGCCAGCAGGGCAGCUGCAGCCUAGGGGUGAGCUCUCCUUUCCCGGCCUAAGGGUGAUUCCUCCUGUUGGAAACCUGCACAGUGUGGGGGAUCUGGUGUGCAGGGGACAGGAGGCCACAUCAGUACCAAACGUCCCAGCUGCAGAAAACUAGUCUGGGCCUGAGUCAGCCACUUGGGGAAUGAAACCUUCAGUAUAACCCCCAGCUCCAUCUAACAUUCUGGCAGGUUAUUUAACACCACCUGAAAAGACAGGUGUCAGGUGGGCCAACAGGAAACAAUGUUCUUUGCCUCCUGGAUCACCCAGACUUUCAGAACAGCUAGCAGUUGGCUGUAGGAAUGGGUGCAUGUCCAUAUGAUUUGCUGAUUAUUUAAAAACACAUUAUUUAAAGAUUCUUAUAAUAAAUGCACAUAGGCAAUACUCUAAGACUAAAAAACAGUUAAAAAAAAACACGACAUUGAAUUUCUGGAUCACUCACCAUUUCCUCUUUGAUGUUAUUUUUAGCAAUAUAUACUAAGAGACUACAAAAAAAGAUUUUCCAGUUAAUCUCAGGGUCAGAUGAGUCUUGGCCUUGUGCAUUUCAAUGGUUUUAAAUGAGUCUACUCUUUUUUUAGGAAACUUUUUCCCACACUUGACAUAAUGAUGUUUUCUUAUGUAACCAGCUGGGGAGA